Molecule: long non-coding RNA, 2059 nt
Filed under: Homo sapiens (human)
Lineage: Eukaryota; Metazoa; Chordata; Mammalia; Primates; Hominidae
Description: long non-coding RNA NONHSAT199901.1
Source: RNAcentral
GCGAGACUGGAGCAGAGCCGCUGGGCGCCGGAGCCGAGGCGAGCGCCGCGCGCACCACUGGUUGGAGUUGCUGUGGGUGAGCUGCUGUGGUCUGUAGCCAAGCAUGCUGUGGUCGGAUCUGCCCAGCCGUGGAACAGAAACAUUUGCUGGAUGGAAAAUCCAUAAAAGAAAGCUCCUGUGAAAAGCUGAGGCUGACAAUAAUUUAAGCAAAAUCAGAUCGAUCUCUUUGGGCUGCCUGACCUCCUUGGGUGCUUGCUAUUAAUUAACAGACUUUGUGGGGAAAAAAAGGAGCUUGCCUUCUGAGCUUUGUACCAAAGACCUGGGAAAAGUAAGUAAUUUUAAACUUGCUUUUAAAAAAUUCUGUUAUACCUCUCUCAGAAAGUUAACAAUAGAUCCAUGGCUUUUUACUUUCUUUCAUUCCUGGCUUAAUAAAUUUUAUAUGUUUUCAUGGAUUUGUAACAUGGAAGGAGACUCAGGAAACCUCUUUGUGUAAAAAAAAAAAACUUGCAAGAGAUUAAGAUGAUGUUCUACAUUGUGCCAUUUCUUUUGGGUUUCAUAAACUGAGUCCUCAAGGUUGUGACAAAACUUUUAUCAGAUUUGCAAGUGAUUAAACAUCAAAUACAAGGCAAUGUAAUAUGAUGUGACAGAAAAGUGAGUCCAGUUGUCUGAGCUUUCAGGUGUUUUAGACUUUUAGAUAUUUUGGAUAGGCUUUUUGGUUCUGAAUUUUUAGAAUAAGUAUGAAAUCGACUUGGUUCUUUUCUUGUCUGGAAAGGAAAGCAAAAUGUGGAAUUGCUUGUCCAAUAAAUUCUUCAUGUAGCUUUGUCUUGGAAGAAUUGAUGCACCUCCCAGUUUUAUUUUAGAAUUUUUUUGAGGGCACUAUAAGACAUUCUAAUUGAGACACUUGUUGAAUGUUUUUGCUGUCUUUUAGAAAAAAUUGCUUGGAACCAGAAAAUUCAGUUUUAUUCUCUUAUCUUUUUGAAAAAUGGACCUUACAGAUCUAUAAAGUCGAUCUGUUUUUUUAAUGGAUACUGCUUGGAAUUAUGAGUGACCAAAUGCCCGUAACAAUAUAUGCAAAAUAAAAUAUGCACGUGCACGCACAGAAACAUACACAAAUAUCCUCUCUAGCAUGUUCCAGAAACAUUAUCGACAAUAGGAAUUGUUCUUCCAUUAAAUUACUAGAUAGCUUUCUAAACUUCCUAUGCUUUGUGUCUUAUAGCUCCACUCUAUUUCUGGCAGUAUAAAUGAGUUAGUUGAAGCAUGUUUAAAAUAAAACAAGACAGAACAGAACUUUGCUUUAGUUCUAUGAAAGCAUUAAAUAGUAAGAUCGGAUUUUAUAGCUCUGUUGUUAUUGUAUUUACUAUAAAUUUAAUUAUUAUUAAAUUGGGUUUUAUUUUGUAAUAAUUAUAAUAAGGUAAGGGUCUUGAGUUUUGAAGCUUAUUUGAAGUUAAAUAUUUGUACUGAAAAAAUAAAUAUUUUGGGAGGCCGAGGUGGACGGAUCACCUGAGGUUGGGAAUUCGAGACCAGCCUGACCAACAUGGAGAAACCCCAUCUCUGCUAAAAAUACAAAAAAAUUAGCUGGGUAUGGUGGUGCAUGCCUGUAAUCCCAGCUACUCGGAAGCCUGAGGCAGGAGAAUUGCUUGAACCUGGGAGGCGGAGGUUGCAGUGAGCCAAGAUUGCGCCACUGCACUCCAGCCUGGGCAACAAGAGCGAAACUCCAUCCCAAAAAAAACACAAAAACCAUAUACGUGUGUGUGCAACACACAAACACACAUACACACAGACAUAGACACUGCACAUACACAUGUAAUUUCUGAGGGAUGUCAAGUCUCUGCUAAAAUAUGAAUUAGUUGAAAGUAAGGAAAAUCUCACCCAAAAUAUAUUUUUUUGUUACAGUGAAAUAUUUGUAAUAGUGAAAUAUUAUUGUCAGUGGAAUUUAAAAAAAAAAUAGAAAUUUGUAGGUUGAAUUUUAUUGUCUUGUAAUCACAUGUUAAUCUUAAAAGAAAUAUUUUAUGUUGUAAUUGUGUGUUGUAGUUGUUAUUCCAUUUUGGAAGGAUAUUUG